AAGGGGCGGGCCCGUGGAGGCCUGCUCUCGGUCACGUGGGCGCCGCGACGGGGGCGGGGGGGAAGCCUGGGGAGGGGCAGCGCUCUCCAGUGUCCCGAUUCCGGCGUGGCUUUCCCCAAUCCCCGAAGUCUUCUACGGACGUAUGCCCCAGUUCCCCAAGAAGACGGCAAAUGAUACAGGCUUGUUUGGAAAUUACAGGACCUCAUGGGGCAAUGGAAAAUUUUGCCACAAAAUGAAUGAAAUACUUGAACAGGUCUUAACCCGGGGAACUUUGAAGAAAUGCAAGAAGUCAUCUCAACUCAUCUUUAAAUAAAAUUUACUAAAACGAUGUAUAUGCCCGUUAGAGUGUGUGGAAUUCAAUUAACAUAGCUGGAUUUCAAUUUCACUGGCAGUAUCAGAAAGUUCACCUGUAACCAGCUCCCUCUGGGGAAGAUUGCCUUCCUGUGUAAUCUGAUUUCCAUAGUUACAUGGAAUGAGAACCUGGCCCCUUGAAAACAAGGUAUUGAUCUGGUGCACAAUUAUUUUGGGACCAAUAAAGGAAAGAGAGAGUUGAAAACAGAAAAGAAGAAAAUGACAAAAGUGUUAAUGGAAAAUUAGGAGAAUAGGAUUUUAAAAAUCUAGAGUUAGACAAAGAUGGAAAAAAAUAAGCCUAAUGUUGGAACCAGCCCGCUACCUCUGUUAGGACAAAGGACCCUGAGAUAUCUCUAAAGGAGCAGGUGAAUUGGGGCCUCGCUUCAGGCAUGCACUGGGAUUCUGAGGACAACAGUACAAGUUCUGAGUAAUGAAAGAGGAAAGGCCUUAGCAUUUGGGUGAAGAAGCAGGUGCACAAAAAGGACAACUUUUAGAAUGGACAUUAUCUCCAGGGAAGUGAAAUGAGUUUACCAGCAUUUUUGUGGGACUGUAAGUGAAGGAGAUUUGGAAAACCUUCUAGAAAGCAGGAAAUGGUAAAUAAAAGUUAGUUGUGUGGUGCCCAUUAUUACUCAUUUAAAAUGUUUUUAGACCCAGCCUCAAUCAACCCCAGUCCCUAUCUAAUAGGUCAAACACGUAGCAAAAGGAAGACUAUAUUUGGCAGCUGUUUUUAUAUCUGUUCAGGUUCAUAAUUCCAGGGACGCC
Long non-coding RNA from Canis lupus familiaris (dog), 1113 nucleotides. RefSeq lists it as uncharacterized. The record is from RefSeq and is a predicted model, not a curated record. The transcript has 4 exons. NCBI's taxonomy places the organism in Eukaryota, Metazoa, Chordata, Mammalia, Carnivora, Canidae.